Molecule: ribosomal RNA, 501 nt
Filed under: uncultured bacterium
Lineage: Bacteria
Description: partial 16S ribosomal RNA
Rfam family: Bacterial small subunit ribosomal RNA
Source: RNAcentral
GACGAACGCUGGCGGCGUGCCUAAUACAUGCAAGUCGAACGAACCGCGACUAGGUGCUUGCACUUGGUCAAGGUGAGUGGCGAACGGGUGAGUAACACGUGGGUAACCUACCUCAUAGUGGGGGAUAACAGUCGGAAACGACUGCUAAUACCGCAUAGGACAUAGGAUCACAUGAUCCAGUGAGGAAAGGUGGCGCAAGCUAUCGCUAAGAGAUGGACCCGCGGUGCAUUAGCUAGUUGGUAGGGUAAAGGCCUACCAAGGCGAUGAUGCAUAGCCGACCUGAGAGGGUGAUCGGCCACAUUGGGACUGAGACACGGCCCAAACUCCUACGGGAGGCAGCAGUGGGGAAUCUUCCGCAAUGGACGCAAGUCUGACGGAGCAACGCCGCGUGAGUGAAGAAGGUCUUCGGAUCGUAAAGCUCUGUUGUUAGAGAAGAACAGCGCAUAGAGUAACUGUUAUGCGUGUGACGGUAUCUAACCAGAAAGCCACGGCUAACUACGU